Molecule: transfer RNA, 76 nt
Filed under: Lentisphaeria bacterium
Lineage: Bacteria; Pseudomonadati; Lentisphaerota; Lentisphaeria
Description: tRNA-Glu
Rfam family: tRNA
About the family: Transfer RNA (tRNA) molecules are approximately 80 nucleotides in length. Their secondary structure includes four short double-helical elements and three loops (D, anti-codon, and T loops).
Source: RNAcentral
GUCUCCAUCGUCUAGAGGCCUAGGACAUCGGGUUCUCAUCCCGGCAACAUGGGUUCGAAUCCCAUUGGAGAUGCCA